Capra hircus (goat) is the source of this 579-nucleotide non-coding RNA. The record is from the annotation of a RefSeq genome assembly. NCBI's taxonomy places the organism in Eukaryota, Metazoa, Chordata, Mammalia, Artiodactyla, Bovidae.
AUGCCGCUCUCCAGUCUGCUCUGGGUGCUCCUGGCCUUCCCCUUCUCUGGAUCUGGUGUGGCCCAGAAAGUUACCCAAGACCAGCCAUACAUAACCAGUCAAAUAGGGCAAUCUGUCAUUCUGAACUGUCGGUAUGAAGUAAGUUGGAGUGGGUACACGCACUACCUUUUUUGGUAUAAGCACCUUCCCAGUGGAGAGAUGACUUUCCUUAUUCGUCAGGAAUCUUCUGGCCCGAAUGCAAGGAAUGGCCGCUACUCUGUAAACUUUCAGAGAGCACGGAACUCCAUCAGCCUCACCAUUUCAGCCUUACAGCCAGAAGACUCCGCAACGUACUUUUGUGCAGUCUGGGAACUCACAGUGCUUAAAGUAAUGAGAAAAGCUGUACAAAAACCCCAGAUCUUAAUAAGAGAGAGCCCCCCUGCUGCAGGACCCCAGCUGAAAUGCACACCUGCAGACCUCAGACAAGAAAUGGUAGUCCUGUGGUUGCUUCAUCUGUGGUCUGGAUCAGAAGAUUUAAUUUUAAACAAAAACUCCUUCCAUGUCAUUUGGAAACAGGUGUCCAGAGUAACUUUCUACUAA